CCAACUCUGAGAUGAUCGCGAUGUGGGUUAGUCCCCUGAGCCGAUAAUCUUAUCUUAAGAACGGAGUGAUUUUUAAUUGGUGAGUAUGCCUUACUUGUAAGGAAACCUAAAAAUUAAAACACGAUGUUCACCUUGAACCGUGGGUUCAAGGGUUACGACCCUAACGACAUCUUGGAGCUUCC
This is a non-coding RNA of Gilliamella sp., 182 nucleotides long. NCBI's taxonomy places the organism in Bacteria, Pseudomonadati, Pseudomonadota, Gammaproteobacteria, Orbales, Orbaceae. The record is from Rfam.